GGAGCUUUUCUGAACAAAAACAAACGAAUAAAAAAGGAUCAAACCUUUAAUUCGAACUACUCUGAACUUGUCUGGAGAUUUUUCUUGAACUGAAGUAUGCUUGGAUUGGGAGACCACACUAGAAUAAUUCAGGCAGACAUGAUGUGGAGAUUUCUUCUAAUCCAGGUACCAGGCUAAUGUGUGCCAAGAACAAACACACAUGAACUGAUGAAAAUACACAAGGCGACACUAGGUAUCUUUCGAGAGACGGACUGAGAGGCGAGUGACUAGUGAGAACACACACACAGACUGACUAGAACAAACACACACAAAGUGACGCUCACUUGCGAUUGAGAGGCGAGGCAGACUACGUGGAUCCAUUGACACGAGCAUGCUUUUCCCUCGAGAACGAUUUGACAACUAUGAUUAAGAAUAUAUAGAUCAAAUCCCUCAUUCAACAAUAAGAGCAAAAGCCGUUCAAGUAAACAAAGUGGCCAUCAGCACGCGUAAAUCAAGGCCGUCAGUUCAAGCAUUGUGUGGCCAGCAUGAAAUGUGCUUGAAUAUUAGCUGAACUUUGUACAGGGAUCUAAACUUACCUGAACUCAUUUUACAUGGAUUUGCACGGUUGGCCGAUGAUGAAGGUAGGGCGAGCAG
This 633-nucleotide long non-coding RNA is filed under the name Triticum aestivum (bread wheat). RNAcentral's name for it is "long non-coding RNA (TAES_LNC015937)". The record is from RNAcentral. Lineage: Eukaryota; Viridiplantae; Streptophyta; Magnoliopsida; Poales; Poaceae.